AAUCAACGCUGGCGGCGUGCCUCAGACAUGCAAGUCGAACGCUGCUGUUCGCCUUCGGGUGACAGCGGAGUGGCGCACGGGUGAGUAACACGUAGGUAAUCUACCUUUGGGUGGGAAUAACAGCCGGAAACGGCUGCUAAUACCGCAUAAUGCAGCGGCAUCACAUGAUGACAGUUGUUAAAGCGAGGGAUCGUAAGACCUCGCGCCUGAAGAGGAGCCUGCGGCAGAUUAGGUAGUUGGUGAGGUAAUGGCUCACCAAGCCUGCGAUCUGUAACCGGCCUGAGAGGGCGGUCGGUCACACUGACACUGACAUACGGGUCAGACUCCUACGGGAGGCAGCAGUCGGAAUUUUGGCAAUGGGCGCAAGCCUGACCCAGCAACA
RNAcentral lists this ribosomal RNA (382 nucleotides) under uncultured bacterium. Its description in RNAcentral is "bacterial SSU rRNA". It matches the Rfam family "Bacterial small subunit ribosomal RNA", at positions 32 to 396 of the family's 1533-position model. The record is from RNAcentral.